RNA transcript from Gymnodraco acuticeps, 2905 nucleotides. It is a transcript of the gene named RNA-binding protein Musashi homolog 1, with no coding region annotated. Lineage: Eukaryota; Metazoa; Chordata; Actinopteri; Perciformes; Bathydraconidae. The record is from RefSeq and is a predicted model, not a curated record. The transcript is spliced from 16 exons.
CUGUCACCCCGGGCCAAACCCGCCCCAUCGUCCCUCACUCACUCUCCGCCUGUUCCCCCGCACGGCUCGGCUCGGACACACGCAGGCAGCACUUACGCACAACACACGGACACGCAAUGGAGACGGAAGGGAGCCAGAGCAGCCUGUCCAGCACGGACUCCCCCCACGACCCCUGCAAAAUGUUCAUAGGUGGACUCAGCUGGCAAACAACACAAGAGGGUCUGAAGGAGUACUUCUGCAAGUACGGCGAGGUGAAGGAGUGUAUGGUGAUGCGAGAUCCAGUUACUAAGCGCUCGAGAGGGUUUGGAUUCGUCACCUUUGUUGAUCAGGCCGGUGUGGAUAAAGUUUUGGCCCAAACCAGGCACGAGUUGGACUCAAAAACAAUCGACCCAAAGGUGGCUUUCCCUCGCAGAGCUCAGCCCAAGUUAGUGACUCGAACCAAGAAGAUCUUUGUGGGCGGUCUGUCCGUGAACACGACCAUCGAGGACGUGAAACAGUACUUCGACCAGUUUGGGAAGGUCGACGAUGCCAUGCUCAUGUUCGACAAGACCACCAACAGACACAGAGGGUUCGGAUUUGUGACGUUUGAAAACGAGGAUGUGGUCGAGAAAGUCUGCGAGAUCCACUUCCAUGAGAUCAACAACAAAAUGGUGGAGUGUAAGAAAGCUCAGCCCAAGGAGGUGAUGUCUCCCACGGGCUCAGCCAGGGGGCGCUCUCGUGUGAUGCCCUAUGGGAUGGACGCCUUCAUGUUGGGCAUCGGUAUGCUAGGUUAUCCAGGUUUCCAGACGGCCACCUACACCAGCCGGAGCUACGCUGGCAUCACUCCUGGAUAUACCUUCCAGUAUCCGGAGUUCCACUUAGAGAGGACUCCCCUUCUGACUUCACCCCAUCCCCCUGAGCUCACAGCCAUUCCUCUGACAGCAUAUGGACCAAUGGCAGCAGCAGCAGCGGCAGCAGCAGUAGUUAGAGGCUCUACCCCGUCUCGUACAGCUGGAUUUUUAGGUACGAGCAGCCCGGGGCCGAUGGCCGACCUUUAUGGGAGCGGUCAGGAGUCGGCAGUCAGCAGUUACCUCAGCGCCGCAAGCCCCGCCCCCAACGCUGGAUUCGGCCACGGUUUGGGGCUGUGUGCCGUCAUGACUCCGGGUGUGUGCAGUUAUUCUUUCAACAAAACACUGUAGCAGCUCACUUCAGGCCCUUUGAUCGCUACGGCCUUCACUAACGGCUAUCACUGAGACAGCUGCAGACAAAGAGCUGGUGGGAGUUGAAGCUGCUCUGGAGCUGAUCUGCCCAGGUCUCUGCCCCCCUAUCGGGCGGAGCAACUGAACUUCCACCCGGUGUCAGCCUGCCACCCUGCUGACGCCUCACUAAACUCCACCUCCUGAGGGGAAAAAAGAAAAAAACUUCAUAAAAGGAGCGAAAAGUCACUUCAUGUAAUAGCAACACAUACAGAUGCUGUCUUUUUUUGUCUUUUUUUGUUCUGUUCUUAUGUUUCAACUUACUGUUUUUGUUGUUGUGAUGGUUGUUUCUUUAUCUGUUUUGUUUUAUUGGGUUGUAUUUGAACCUGAUCUAUCUGAGAUAAGAGGAGAAAAAAGAAAUCUCCAGGAUCUGUCAUUUGUACUGGAAAAACUGUAUAUUUGUCAGUAGUUCAUACUGAAUUUUAACAAAACAUUUGUGAUUAAUACUAUCUCUUGAAAAUGUGUCACAAAGUGUAUAUCUUGGUAGGUUUUUAACAAAGACUUGUUUCACUAAUAAUGGUCAAAUGUCAUUAGUUGCAGUUACAUAUUAGGCCUACAUGAGCUGUACAAUUGUAAAAUAUUGUAAAUACGACUCUGGUUUGGGGGGGGGCUCCGCUAAAGUUUGUUUUGUGGGAGGUGGGAGGCUUUUUGAGGAAUAAUAAUACGAUUGCUUUUUUCAUCAAAGCGUAUGUGUUGGAAAGCUUGACUGUUACGUAUCAUAGUUUCACAUGAAGGUCAAAAACAUGUCAGUAUGUUUGUCAAUAUUAAACCAGCCACAUACUGUAUUUCUCUCCAGGCAUUUUAUAAAGGAUGUGUCAUUUCAAUCUGUGUUAAAACACCUUGAGUUCAGCAGGAGAGAGGCUGCAACAACACUUUUACUUUUUGGGGAUAAAUGCGUGUGAAAAUGCUCCUCUUUCAGAAGGGGAGAUUAAAACGUGCUGAUUUAUUACUUUGUCAUAUUGCUGUUUUAACUGUGAUUUUCAAUAUGUGAUUAUUAUUUGUGAAGGAAAAUGAAGGAGUAGUGUGCAGGAGCGGUCGAGCAGAGAGAAAUCUGUAAUGACUGCUCCGCUCUGCAGGUUGUGUUGAUGUUUGCGUGACAUAUGGUCUUAUACACAUUGGUUUUCAAUGUGCCAUGUGCUGUUUUAUUGGGGCGGAUGGUACCUCAGUUUCAAAUGUGAAAUUUUAAUCUGACUUUUUUGUAUUAUUACAUUAACAUCAAGUGUGGAUGGUUGCACCUUUUUAGAAGGUGGCUUUCCUACAGGAAAGGAGGGGGGUCUAAUUAAUUCAUCUACCCUCAAAUCAAUCACUACAUAUCCACUGGAUGUCACAGACUGUAGCAAUGUGACAGCUUUUUUUAGACCAAAACCAUUAUGUUCAGAGCUACUAGGACUUUGCACUGGCCGAUCACGAUACAUGUGUUUUCCUUCGAACGUUAGAAGCGUAAGAACAAAGCACUCUCGAUCUACGAAGUACCAGGUUUCUCAUUUUGAUACACUCGCUCACACUGCUGCGGGCUACCACGGUAGUUCAUACUUUGAUGCUGUUUUCACUGAAAAAUAACAAUCUUGUCAACACUGUAACAUUUUUUGAUUUUCUUUUUCCUGUCAUGUUUAUUCCUUUGAAAAAAAAACCUUUUUAAAAUUCCUAAUAAAUUAUUUUAAAACAUUCCA